CGGGACGGGUGAGUAACACGUGAGCAACCUGCCUUUCAGUGGGGGACAACAGUUGGAAACGACUGCUAAUACCGCAUAACGUGCCGGAAGGGCAUCCUUUUGGUACCAAAGAUUUAUCGCUGAAAGAUGGGCUCGCGUCUGAUUAGAUAGUUGGUGAGGUAACGGCCCACCAAGUCGACGAUCAGUAGCCGGACUGAGAGGUUGAUCGGCCACAUUGGGACUGAGACACGGCCCAAACUCCUACGGAAGGCAGCAG
Molecule: ribosomal RNA, 256 nt
Filed under: uncultured bacterium
Lineage: Bacteria
Description: partial 16S ribosomal RNA
Rfam family: Bacterial small subunit ribosomal RNA
Source: RNAcentral